AUGACUGAAAUAGCCAGCUCGGGGUGAACCAAACAUCAAGGAUCAUACACUAUGGACCCGUCAGCACCGUGGCCAUGGGUGAUCAUAUCUUUACCAGUGGAGGAGGAGGAGACGACCGAUACCUGAACAUGAACAGGAGAGAAUAAGGAUGGUUUGGCCCGAGGAGGAAGAACUGCUGCAGAGGUUAUGUGAUCAGCUAAGACGCUUGACGUUUUACUGGCGGUCUCUCAACAUUACCUAGCCUGCCUUAACAUCACUCAGCGGGCUUCAACAUCACCUAGCGGUUCUCAACAUCACCUAGCUUGCUUUAACAUCACUCAGCGGGCAUCAACAUCACCUAGCGGUCUUCAACAUCACCUAGCAAUCCUUAACAUCACCAAGCCUCUCUUAACACCACCUAAAGUGCCUCGAUCCUGUACCCCUCAUGUCCUAUCUAGUCACCUCCAACAUGCAGCACAUCUAAACAACUAAAAAAAAUAAUCUUAUAACUCCUCAAAAAUUUGUUUCCAUCGAUUUGAUCUUUUCUGAACUAUUUUUUCCCCAACUAAAGUAACUCUGAUGUUUUAUUUAUAGUUAGCCAAGGUUUAUAUUUUUUGUCUUACUUGAAGAUAAAUAUUAUGUAGGUAUCUUAUUAUAAGAGCAUUACAAUAUAGUCUUGCUUCUCUGGCUGGUUCAUGAUACUACUAUGUUAUUUAGUUCAUCUGUAGUUUUAAGAUUCCCAGUGUUACAUUUGAGCCCACUAGCUUGAUUGUCUUUCUCGAAUAAUACUUUUCUACACGGGAAG
This is a long non-coding RNA of Homarus americanus (American lobster), 784 nucleotides long. RefSeq lists it as uncharacterized. The transcript has 2 exons. NCBI's taxonomy places the organism in Eukaryota, Metazoa, Arthropoda, Malacostraca, Decapoda, Nephropidae. The record is from RefSeq and is a predicted model, not a curated record.